RNAcentral lists this non-coding RNA (253 nucleotides) under uncultured cyanobacterium. RNAcentral describes it as "contains 16S-23S intergenic spacer region". It matches the Rfam family "Bacterial small subunit ribosomal RNA", at positions 524 to 776 of the family's 1533-position model. The record is from RNAcentral. Lineage: Bacteria; Bacillati; Cyanobacteriota. RNAcentral also lists the same sequence under 2 other names.
GACGUAGGAUGCAAGCGUUGUCCGGAUUUAUUGGGCGUAAAGAGUUCGUAGGUGGUUUGUUAAGUUUGGUGUUAAAGAUUGGGGCUCAACCCUGAAACUGCACUGAAUACUGGCAGACUCGAGUGUGGUAGAGGCUAGUGGAAUUCCCAGUGUAGCGGUGAAAUGCGUAGAUAUUGGGAAGAACACCGGUGGCGUAGGCGACUAGCUGGGCCAUAACUGACACUGAGGAACGAAAGCCAGGGGAGCGAAUGGG